Gymnodraco acuticeps is the source of this 961-nucleotide long non-coding RNA. RefSeq lists it as uncharacterized. The transcript has 3 exons. Lineage: Eukaryota; Metazoa; Chordata; Actinopteri; Perciformes; Bathydraconidae. The record is from RefSeq and is a predicted model, not a curated record.
CCUCCUGCACAAAAACCACUGGCUUUGCCUCACGUCUCUGUUUCUGGAGAUAACACGACAUACCGUUGUGCUUGUUUAAUUUACAACAAUGGUCCGACUUGUCAGGAUGAAAUAAUCAAAGGAACUCCCGGUAAGCAGAGAUUUUUGUGAGCCUUGUGGGGAGUAGCGCAUGCAAGAGCAGCAUAUCUGAUUAAAAUAGUGUCAGCAUUGUGAGCCGAGGCCCCCCCGACCUUAGGUAGUUAAGCAAUUAUUCCUGUGUGAACACUCUGGAGACUGUGCUUGUUCCAGCUGUUCGCUCUCUGAGUGUGACAGCCAGCUCUUAACCUCACAGAGCUGACGACCGACAUUCAUCAACGUAUUGUGAUGCCUACUGCAGCUCCAUUUCCAAAAGAUAUGGAUUGGAUAAGAAGUUCAGCUGCCAUGACAACUCUUUUCUCCUGGUUCUCGGUGGGACUGGAGGGGCUUUACAGUCUCUACAGUCACAGACAAGCAGGGACACCUCAGCCGAGGGAAAAGGCUAUUCAUGCGUCAGGAACGGAGGCCAUUACUGUAUUAGGUGCAAAGAUCAACUGUGAGCAACAAUAGCAACAAGGAAAGCAAGAAGAGAUGUGUGUUUGCGCUGUAUAACAAUCUAAUUAGAAUCAGGCAUGGGUCGAUACAUAUUCAACCAUUUUCGUUAUUAAAUGACUAUUCAAAUUCAAUGGAAGGGUACACAUGUAUACGUCAAAUAAAAAGGAAUACAUUAUUAUUAUUAUAUUAUUAUUAUAUUAUUAUAUAUAUACAUAAUAUAGCAUAAAAGAAACAAAUGUAUUUGAGUUUGUGUUUUAUUUGAGUUUGAUGCAUACAAAUACUGUACUGUAUAUGAUGAUUGUUGAAAAUGUAUUUUUACCAUAGAAGGCCAGCUCGACCAUUUGGUAGAGGCUCAUAAAAACAAAACUGUGUGGUCAGUCAAAAAAAAAAA